Molecule: ribosomal RNA, 492 nt
Filed under: uncultured bacterium
Lineage: Bacteria
Description: partial 16S ribosomal RNA
Rfam family: Bacterial small subunit ribosomal RNA
Source: RNAcentral
AGUGAACGCUGGCGGUAGGCCUAACACAUGCAAGUCGAACGGCAGCACAGUAAGAGCUUGCUCUUACGGGUGGCGAGUGGCGGACGGGUGAGGAAUACAUCGGAAUCUACUUUUUCGUGGGGGAUAACGUAGGGAAACUUACGCUAAUACCGCAUACGACCUACGGGUGAAAGCAGGGGAUCUUCGGACCUUGCGCGAUUGAAUGAGCCGAUGUCGGAUUAGCUAGUUGGCGGGGUAAAGGCCCACCAAGGCGACGAUCCGUAGCUGGUCUGAGAGGAUGAUCGGCCACACUGGAACUGGGACACGGUCCAGACUCCUACGGGAGGCAGCAGUGGGGAAUAUUGGACAAUGGGCGCAAACCUGAUCCAGCCAUACCGCGUGGGUGGAGGAGGCCUUCGGGUUGUAAAGCCCUUUUGUUGGGAGAGAAAAGCAGCAGGUUAAUACCCCGCUGUUCUGACGGUACCCAAAGAAUAAGCACCGGCUAACUUCGUG